AACAAAUUAAUAAGUGCAAAUGGCGGAUGCCUAGGCACCAGAAGCCGAUGAAGGUCGUAGGAGGCUGCGAAAAGCCUCGGGGAGCCGCCAACCAGGCUUCGAUCCGAGGAUUACCGAAUGGGGAAACCCGGCUGGAGUAAUGUCCAGUCAUUUCUCUCUGAAUAAAUAGGAGAGUCAAAGGUAACGAGGGGAAGUGAAACAUCUCAGUACCCUCAGGAAGAGAAAACAACCGUGAUUCCGUUAGUAGUGGCGAGCGAAAGCGGAAGAGGCUAAACCAAUCAUGUGCCAAGCCGGCAGGCGUUGCAUGAUCGGUGUCGUGGGACUAAAUCGAAUCAACUGCCGUUAAUUCAACAAGUCAGAAAAUAAUGAAAUAGAUGAAGGACGUGGGAAAGUCCGGCAUAGAAGGUGAGACCCCUGUAGUCGAAAUUUCAUUAUCUUGUUUUUAGUAUCCCAAGUAAUACCGGACUCGUGUAAUCCGGUAUGAAUCUGGCGGGACCACCCGCUAAGCCUAAAUACUCUCUGGUGACCGAUAGUGAACAAGUACCGUGAGGGAAAGGUGAAAAGAACCCCGCAAGGGGAGUGAAAUAGAAUCUGAAACCGUUUGCAUACAAACCGUUGGAGCUGCCUUGUGCAGUGACAGCGUGCCUUUUGAAGAAUGAGUCUACGAGUUAGUGUGAUGUAGCAAGGUUAACCCGUCGAGGGGAAGCCGUAGCGAAAGCGAGUCUGAAUAGGGCGAAUAAGUCGCAUCAUCUAAACCCGAAGCGAGGUGAUCUCGCCAUGACCAGGUUGAAGCGCGGGUAAGACCGCGUGGAGGACCGAACCCACUAAAGUUGAAAAUUUAGGGGAUGAGUUGUGGCUAGGGGUGAAAGACCAAUCAAACUUCGUGAUAGCUGGUUCUCUCCGAAAUGCAUUUAGGUGCAGCGUCACGUGUUUCUUACUGGAGGUAGAGCUACUGGAUGGCCGAGGGGUCCUACAAGAUUACCAACGUCAGCCAAACUCCGAAUGCCAGUAAGUGAGAACGUGGCAGUGAGACAGUGGGGGAUAAGCUUCAUUGUCGAGAGGGAAACAACCCAGAACAGCAACUAAGGUCCCAAAGCCUGUGCUAAGUGGAAAAGGAUGUGAAGUCGCAUAGACAACCAGGAGGUUGGCUUAGAAGCAGCCACCCUUAAAAGAGUGCGUAAUAGCUCACUGGUCAAGUGAUUUCGCGCCGACAAUGUAACGGGGCUCAAGCACAGCACCGAAGUUCUGUCAUUCACACACUAUCCCGGUCGCAAGAUCCAGGAGUGUGGAUGGGUAGGAGAGCGUUGUGUAACUAGUGAAGCGGCGGAGGAAUCCAGCCGUGGAAGUUACACAAGUGAGAAUGUAGACAUGAGUAGCGAAAGACGGGUGAGAAACCCGUCCACCGAAUGACCAAGGGUUCCUGAGCCAGGCUAAUCCGCUCAGGGUAAGUCGGGUCCUAAGGCGAGGCCGACAGGCGUAGUCGAUGGACAACUGGUUGAUAUUCCAGUACCCACAAUAAACCGACCGUGACGAAUCAAUAAUGCUAAGUGUUUGAAGUUGGCUAGCAAUAGCUGAUGGAGCGCACGACCCAAGUUGGUAGUAGUCAAGCAAUGGAGAGACGCAGGAAGGUAGUCCAACCCAGGCGAUGGUUGACCUGGGGUAAGAGUGUAGGAGGUUCUGUAGGAAAAUCCGCAGAACAAUCUCUAAGACUUGAUGCCGAGCCGUAAGGCGAAGUGGAUGAUCCUAUGCUGCCAAGAAAAUCUUCUAGCGAGGUUUAAACGGCGGUGGUAACUAUAACCAUCCUAAGGUAGCGAAAUUCCUUGUCGGGUAAGUUCCGACCUGCACGAAUGGCGUAACGACUUGAGCGCUGUCUCCACCAUGAACUCGGCGAAAUUGCAGUACGAGUAAAGAUGCUCGUUACGCGCGGAAAGACGGAAAGACCCCGGGACCUUUACUAUAUCUUGAUAUUGGUACUCGGAACGUUCUGUGUAGCAUAGGUGGGAGACUUUGAAGCGGCACGCCAGUGUUCGUGGAGUCAAAAAUUGAAAUACCACUCUGAACGUUUUGAGUUUCUAACCUCGGCCCAUUAUCUGGGUCAGGGACAGUGUCUGGUGGGUAGUUUAACUGGGGCGGUUGCCUCCCAAAAAGUAACGGAGGCGCUCAAAGGUUCCCUCAGCCUGGUUGGUAAUCAGGUGUCGAGUGUAAGUGCACAAGGGAGCUUAACUGUGAGACAGACAUGUCAAGCAGGUGCGAAAGCAGGAACUAGUGAUCCGGCGGUGGCUUGUGGAAGCGCCGUCGCUCAACGGAUAAA
RNAcentral lists this ribosomal RNA (2311 nucleotides) under Candidatus Allofontibacter communis. Its description in RNAcentral is "partial 23S ribosomal RNA". It matches the Rfam family "Bacterial large subunit ribosomal RNA", at positions 1 to 2460 of the family's 2925-position model. Lineage: Bacteria; Pseudomonadati; Pseudomonadota; Alphaproteobacteria; Candidatus Pelagibacterales; Candidatus Pelagibacteraceae. The record is from RNAcentral.